Molecule: ribosomal RNA, 252 nt
Filed under: uncultured bacterium
Lineage: Bacteria
Description: partial 16S ribosomal RNA
Rfam family: Bacterial small subunit ribosomal RNA
Source: RNAcentral
UACAUAGGGGGCGAGCGUUAUCCGGAUUUAUUGGGCGUAAAGAGUGCGUAGGCGGUUUAUUAGGUCAGGCGUAAAAGAUCACAGCUCAACUGUGUAGGGCGUUUGAAACCGAUAGACUUGAAUACGGUAGAGGCAGGCGGAAUUCCAUGUGUAGCGGUGGAAUGCGUAGAUAUAUGGAGGAACACCAAUGGCGAAGGCAGCCUGCUGGGCCGGAAUUGACGCUGAGGCACGAAAGCGUGGGGAGCAAACAGG